UUUGUAUUUAGUGCAGAAAUUGUUACCAUUUUUUAACUGAAAAUGGUAACAAUUUCUGCACGUAAUACAAA
RNAcentral lists this microRNA precursor (71 nucleotides) under Paramuricea clavata. The record is from RNAcentral. Lineage: Eukaryota; Metazoa; Cnidaria; Anthozoa; Malacalcyonacea; Plexauridae.